UCCCUGGUAGUCCAUUGCUUAAGACUUCACCUUUCAAUGCAGGAGAUGCAGGUUCAAUCUCUGCUCAGGGAA
Molecule: transfer RNA, 72 nt
Filed under: Ovis aries (sheep)
Lineage: Eukaryota; Metazoa; Chordata; Mammalia; Artiodactyla; Bovidae
Rfam family: tRNA
About the family: Transfer RNA (tRNA) molecules are approximately 80 nucleotides in length.
Source: Rfam by way of RNAcentral